AAGUAAGCGAGUUAUCGAUCUGGAUAUUUCUGAGUGGACUCUGUGAGCGAUCCAAUCAGGAUGGAGUGCAGCAGCCAGGUGACCCCCCAGCUGAUGAUGGCUGUGGGGACCGCUGUGAUUGGCUCCCUCCAGUUUGGCUACAACACCGGCGUCAUCAACGCUCCUCAGAAUGUGUUUUGGUAAAGCAGAAUCCAGGCG
Molecule: long non-coding RNA, 198 nt
Organism: Pseudoliparis swirei
Lineage: Eukaryota; Metazoa; Chordata; Actinopteri; Perciformes; Liparidae
Exons: 3
Source: RefSeq, a predicted model, not a curated record